UAGGUGUGCGUGAAUGUGUUUCAGUCUGUAAAGAGCAGCGGACACAGGAGACAUCGAACUGCCAAUCAAAAACCUGAGAAGCAGCCGUUGCCAGGUGCGAAAAGACCCAAAUCAACCCAAGAUUCGAGUCUCCCCUACCCAGCCAAUCAGACAGAGGGACUCCUCUGCGCUCAGAUCAAUCCGAAAAGGAGGAGCAUCGAGGGCUCGUUAAAAAGAAGAUUUCUCUUAACAGUGGAACUUUCCAUUCGAAGCUCGAUUGAGUUGUUGAUCGCUCCGAAGCUGUGGGUCAGCCAAAUAACUUGUGACCUCCUUUCACAGGUAUGUAUAACAAGGUAAUGACAUUGCUUUUUAUAUAUUGUUUCAUUUAUGACUUCA
This 375-nucleotide long non-coding RNA is filed under the name Lepisosteus oculatus (spotted gar). RNAcentral's name for it is "lncRNA (ENSLOCG00000021537.1)". Lineage: Eukaryota; Metazoa; Chordata; Actinopteri; Semionotiformes; Lepisosteidae. The record is from RNAcentral.